AUUAUGUUAAGGUGCAUAUAAUGGUCUCAAUUUUGCUCCAAUCUGUAAAAUGGGAAAAUUAUAUCAGCCUACACGUGUUUUGUGUGGAAAGAAAGGGUUAACAUGUAGUAGAUUGUUGGCACUCAAGAAAUAUUUUCCUUUCCAACGUUUUCAUAACUUUGGAUAGUUCCCAACUCUGUAUUUUCAGCCUUCAUUUUCAAUAAAUGUUGCUCAAUAAAAAUUAAUAGCAUCUUAAAGCUUCAACUUCAUGUUAGUAUGGGUCUCAAAGACGUCCUGUCACUCUCUCUUUGACGUCUUCUCAAUGACCUACAAGACAUCUCUAUUAGAUUGUCUAAUCAUCUAUGUUAAAAUAAACAUUGCUAAACAAACUCACAAUUUUACUUACUCAGGAACACUUUCUUUUCUAAUUCUAUAAUUUAAAAAAAACAGAAUUACUUGCACAGCCACAUAAACUUGUGAAACCUGCUCAGUGAAGGAGAGACUUCGUUGAAGAGUAUUGAAUUUGGUGAUGUGUAAGAGACCUGGGAAGUAGAGUGCCAAUGGAAGUGAAUGGUUUGGAAGACUAAAAAGGGCUCUAGAUGCUCCUUUUCUAUACAGCGUCCUGAUAAUCUUAACAGAUUCAACAACCUCCCAAGAGAAAUAAUUCCUGUAGAGUCUAUAGCAUAUCAUUAAAUAAGAGAAACAACUAGUUUUCAAAAGUUCAAUGGUGUUCAAAACAGGAUGCUGCUUUGUUUGUUUGUUUCAUAGUAUUUUGUAUUUCAUAGAAAGAAGGAAAAACUAAACUAAAAUCUGUAAUAUCAUUAUUGAUAAUACACAUAUUGUCUCUUUGUAUAUUUUUCCAAGUUGUCUAGUAAGUAAAAUGACACUGGGAUUUU
RNAcentral lists this long non-coding RNA (875 nucleotides) under Homo sapiens (human). RNAcentral describes it as "HSALNT0351410". Lineage: Eukaryota; Metazoa; Chordata; Mammalia; Primates; Hominidae. The record is from RNAcentral.